Molecule: ribosomal RNA, 407 nt
Filed under: uncultured Chloroflexota bacterium
Lineage: Bacteria; Bacillati; Chloroflexota
Description: bacterial SSU rRNA
Rfam family: Bacterial small subunit ribosomal RNA
Source: RNAcentral
UUAACACGUAGGAGGCAAGCGUUAUCCGAAUUUACCGGGCGUAAAGCGCGUGCAGGCGGUUCGGUAAGUUGGAUGUGAAAUCUCUUGGCUCAACUGGGAGAGGUCGUUCAAUACUGUCGGACUAGAGGAUGGUAGAGGGAGGUGGAAUUCCCGGUGUAGUGGUGAAAUGCGUAGAUAUCGGGAGGAACACCAGUGGCGAAAGCGGCCUCCUGGACCAUUCCUGACGCUCAGACGCGAAACUAGGGGAGCGAACGGGAUUAGACACCCCGGUAGUCCUAGCUGUAAACGAUGUGGACUUGGCGUCGGUGGGGUAAAAGCCAUCGGUGCCGGAGCUAACGCGGUAAGUCCACCGCCUGGGGACUACGUGCCGCAAGGUUAAAACUCAAGGAAUUGACGGGGGCCCGCAC